CAACCUGAACAAUCCGCACCCUCGACUCCUUGUCCCCGGGAUCAAUCAAACAAUGCUCCAAUUCCCAUGACAAAUAAGGAGCUGUAUUAUAAUUUCCAUCAUGAUUAUUGGACCAGGCAGCCACAUAACAUCCGGUUGAUUGAUACGCAAAGGCAGCAACAUUGGCAUCAGAAAUAUUCCUCUCGUCGAUGCUAUACCUAGUUGCAGCAUCAGCUUCACAGCCAACGGUAGGAAGGAGCCGAAUGAACUUGUACAUGAAAGAGAAGGCAUCAUCAUCACGAGCAAGAGUAGGACAUUGAGUUUGCCAAUCGAAUACCUUCACCUCCCACUCCCUGUAAGCUCCAGGGACUACAGAUUCCGGUAAUUCAAUCGGCUCACCUUGCUUGCUAAAAUCUGCUCCAAACCCAUCCCAUUCGCCAGACACAUUUUUUGCAAACUCAGCCCAUCCUUUCAAAUUGAUAUUUUCAGAGUCUUUAACGGAAUCUGAAGUUGAUUGGAGUUGGGAAGCUGAGUUCUCCGUUGUCUUUGGUGCCAAGGCGGGUAUGGAGAUGCUUCUCUUCGAAGUAGUAAUAGUAGUAAUAGUGGUAUAAUUUUCAAGUUUGAAUUGUUGGGAGAAGUUUGAUAUUUUAUUGUUAGUGAAAGAUGAAUGGAAGAAGGUGCGAAUUCUCACAUGGGCAGAAGCAGACAGAGCAGCCAUUGAUGAUACAGUGAGGAGCCGUG
RNAcentral lists this unclassified non-coding RNA (720 nucleotides) under Hevea brasiliensis (rubber tree). Lineage: Eukaryota; Viridiplantae; Streptophyta; Magnoliopsida; Malpighiales; Euphorbiaceae. The record is from RNAcentral.